UGGGGAAUAUUGCACAAUGGGCGCAAGCCUGAUGCAGCCAUGCCGCGUGUGUGAAGAAGGCCUUCGGGUUGUAAAGCACUUUCAGCGAGGAGGAAGGUGGUGGACUUAAUACGUUCAUCAAUUGACGUUACUCGCAGAAGAAGCACCGGCUAACUCCGUGCCAGCAGCCGCGGUAAUACGGAGGGUGCAAGCGUUAAUCGGAAUUACUGGGCGUAAAGCGCACGCAGGCGGUUUGUUAAGUCAGAUGUGAAAUCCCCGGGCUCAACCUGGGAACUGCAUUUGAAACUGGCAAGCUAGAGUCUCGUAGAGGGGGGUAGAAUUCCAGGUGUAGCGGUGAAAUGCGUAGAGAUCUGGAGGAAUACCGGUGGCGAAGGCGGCCCCCUGGACGAAGACUGACGCUCAGGUGCGAAAAGCGUGGGGAGCAAAACAGGAUUAGAUACCCUGGUAGUCCACGCUGUAAAACGAUGUCGAUUUGGAGGUUGUGCCCUUGAGGCGUGGCUUCCGGAGCUAACGCGUUAAAUCGACCGCCUGGGGAGUACGGCCGCAAGGUU
Molecule: ribosomal RNA, 551 nt
Filed under: uncultured bacterium
Lineage: Bacteria
Description: partial 16S ribosomal RNA
Rfam family: Bacterial small subunit ribosomal RNA
Source: RNAcentral